UAUGUGAGGGUAGGGUUUUGUGAUCACUUGGGCUAUUUGGUGGGGGCUAGGUAUUGUCGGUGGACAAAGACAAUUAUCAUAUGGUUCCCUUCACUGAACUUGAAGGGAGGCUUUAGAAUCCUUAGACUGACCCCUAACCCAAGCUUCUGAUGUGGCAUCACAAUAUUCUAAGUAGACCUUUCUCUGUCAAGUGCAGAGGCAUUCACAGCUGAGCAGUGGAAGCAGCCUGGUAUGUCCUCUGAUGGCUGACUAGGGCGCUGGCUAGGGUGGGUUUGGCACAAUAGUCUGGCCAAGCCCUUUUAUUCCCAGAGGCAACAGGAAAGGAUGCACUCGGAGGGCAGAGCACUGGGCAGCACUGAGUGUGGGGCCUUCUGCUGCAUGGUUCCCUCCCGUCUUUGCUACUCUGUCCCCAAGGCCACCUGCGGAAGUCAGGUCUUCAAAACCUGGGGACUGUGUGAAGCCUGUGGGAGAGCCGCUGCUCAGUCAUGUCCGGAUGGGGGGGCUUUGCCUGCCCUUCCUGGUGGCCAAGUCAGAAGCAGUCUUGGGUUAGAGUCAUGGACCUGACCUCUUGCUGCCACUGUGGGCCUGGCCUUUGAGAUCCAGUGUCUCCCUCUGCGGCUGGGUUCAUGUUCCAGAGUCACUUCAAGGCCUUUUCCAGCUCCUGCCAACCUGCUCCAAAAAGACCAAGGCUAUGGACAACGUGACCUGUUGGGAAAGAGUGGGGGGCAACACGCCUUGGCUGGUUCGUCUUCAGUGGUUUAGAGUGGAGUUCUUAACCUUGGAGCAAAUGUCAACUUUAUGGGUCCAAAAUACAUACCCAAAUGUGGCAGUCCUGUGUAAUCACCUGGUGAAUUUU
Long non-coding RNA from Lutra lutra (Eurasian river otter), 856 nucleotides. RefSeq lists it as uncharacterized. The record is from RefSeq and is a predicted model, not a curated record. The transcript has 4 exons. Lineage: Eukaryota; Metazoa; Chordata; Mammalia; Carnivora; Mustelidae.